RNAcentral lists this non-coding RNA (31 nucleotides) under Homo sapiens (human). Lineage: Eukaryota; Metazoa; Chordata; Mammalia; Primates; Hominidae. The record is from RNAcentral.
UGUACGAUCGGCCUCCUGGGAUGCUCAGGGC